GACGAACGCUGGCGGCGUGCCUAAUACAUGCAAGUCGAGCGAAUGGAUUAAGAGCUUGCUCUUAUGAAGUUAGCGGCGGACGGGUGAGUAACACGUGGGCAACCUGCCCAUAAGACUGGGAUAACUCCGGGAAACCGGGGCUAAUACCGGAUAACAUUUUGAACCGCAUGGUUCGAAAUUGAAAGGCGGCUUCGGCUGUCACUUAUGGAUGGACCCGCGUCGCAUUAGCUAGUUGGUGAGGUAACGGCUCACCAAGGCAACGAUGCGUAGCCGACCUGAGAGGGGGAUCGGCCACACUGGGACUGAGACACGGCCCAGACUCCUACGGGAGGCAGCAGUAGGGAAUCUUCCGCAAUGGACGAAAGUCUGACGGAGCAACGCCGCGUGAGUGAUGAAGGCUUUCGGGUCGUAAAACUCUGUUGUUAGGGAAGAACAAGUGCUAGUUGAAUAAGCUGGCACCUUGACGGUACCUAACCAGAAAGCCACGGCUAACUACGUGCCAGCAGCCGCCGUAA
This 515-nucleotide ribosomal RNA is filed under the name uncultured bacterium. RNAcentral's name for it is "partial 16S ribosomal RNA". It matches the Rfam family "Bacterial small subunit ribosomal RNA", at positions 28 to 523 of the family's 1533-position model. The record is from RNAcentral.